GCCCUGACUUCGGUUGGGUCCUUAGUGGCGCACGGGUGCGUAACGCGUGGGAAUCUGCCCUUGGGUUCGGAAUAACAGCGGGAAACUGCUGCUAAUACCGGAUGAAGACGAAAGUCCAAAGAUUUAUCGCCUGAGGAUGAGCCCGCGUUGGAUUAGGUAGUUGGUGGGGUAAAGUCCUACCAAGCCGACGAUCAGUAGCUGGUCUGAGAGGAUGAUCAGCCACACUGGGACUGAGACACGGCCCAGACUCCUACGGGAGGCAGCAGUGGGGAAUAUUGGACAAUGGGCGCAAGCCUGAUCCAGCCAUGCCGCGUGAGUGAUGGAGGCCUUAGGGUUGUAAAGCUCUUUUAUCCGGGACAGAUAAUGACGGUACCGGAGGAAUAAGCGCGCGGCUAACUUCGUGCCAGCAGCCGCGGUAAU
Molecule: ribosomal RNA, 420 nt
Filed under: uncultured bacterium
Lineage: Bacteria
Description: bacterial SSU rRNA
Rfam family: Bacterial small subunit ribosomal RNA
Source: RNAcentral